GGGUUGUGAGGUUAAGCGACUAAGCGUACACGGUGGAUGCCUUGGCAGUCAGAGGCGAUGAAGGACGUGCUAAUCUGCGAUAAGCGCCGGUAAGGUGAUAUGAACCGUUAUAACCGGCGAUUUCCGAAUGGGGAAACCCAGUGUGACUCGUCACACUAUCAUUAACUGAAUCCAUAGGUUAAUGAGGCGAACCGGGGGAACUGAAACAUCUAAGUACCCCGAGGAAAAGAAAUCAACCGAGAUUCCCCCAGUAGCGGCGAGCGAACGGGGAGGAGCCCAGAGCCUGAAUCAGCAUGUGUGUUAGUGGAAGCGUCUGGAAAGGCGCGCGAUACAGGGUGACAGCCCCGUACACAAAAGCGCAUAUGCUGUGAGCUCGAUGAGUAGGGCGGGACACGUGGUAUCCUGUCUGAAUAUGGGGGGACCAUCCUCCAAGGCUAAAUACUCCUGACUGACCGAUAGUGAACCAGUACCGUGAGGGAAAGGCGAAAAGAACCCCGGCGAGGGGAGUGAAAAAGAACCUGAAACCGUGUACGUACAAGCAGUGGGAGCCCCACCACUAAGCCAGUGGUGAACUCCACAUACGCAUCCUUUGCUGAGGAUACGGUUAACGGAGCGAAAGCGACGUUCAACCGCAAAAGAAGCAGAGGGGGCUUAGUGGUGG
RNAcentral lists this ribosomal RNA (661 nucleotides) under Salmonella enterica subsp. enterica serovar Muenster. Its description in RNAcentral is "partial 23S ribosomal RNA". It matches the Rfam family "Bacterial large subunit ribosomal RNA", at positions 1 to 677 of the family's 2925-position model. The record is from RNAcentral. Lineage: Bacteria; Pseudomonadati; Pseudomonadota; Gammaproteobacteria; Enterobacterales; Enterobacteriaceae.